This 468-nucleotide ribosomal RNA is filed under the name uncultured bacterium. RNAcentral describes it as "partial 16S ribosomal RNA". It matches the Rfam family "Bacterial small subunit ribosomal RNA", at positions 28 to 507 of the family's 1533-position model. The record is from RNAcentral.
GACGAACGCUGGCGGCGUGCUUAACACAUGCCAGUCGAACGGAAAGGCCCUGCUUUUGUGGGGUGCUCGAGUGGCGAACGGGUGAGUAACACGUGAGUAACCUGCCCUCGACUUUGGGAUAACUUCAGGAAACUGGGGCUAAUACCGGAUAGGAGCUCCUGCUGCAUGGUGGGGGUUGGAAAGUUUCGGCGGUUGGGGAUGGACUCGCGGCUUAUCAGCUUGUUGGUGGGGUAGUGGCUUACCAAGGCUUUGACGGGUAGCCGGCCUGAGAGGGUGACCGGCCACAUUGGGACUGAGAUACGGCCCAGGCUCCUACGGGAGGCAGCAGUGGGGAAUAUUGCACAAUGGGCGGAAGCCUGAUGCAGCAACGCCGCGUGCGGGAUGACGGCCUUCGGGUUGUAAACCGCUUUCGCCUGUGACGAAGCGUGAGUGACGGUAAUGGGUAAAGAAGCACCGGCUAACUACGUG